RNAcentral lists this transfer RNA (72 nucleotides) under Paramecium primaurelia. It matches the Rfam family "tRNA". Rfam says of the family: Transfer RNA (tRNA) molecules are approximately 80 nucleotides in length. RNAcentral also lists the same sequence under 3 other names. The record is from Rfam by way of RNAcentral. Lineage: Eukaryota; Ciliophora; Oligohymenophorea; Peniculida; Parameciidae.
GCACCCAUCGUAUAGAGGUUAGUACAGAUGCCCCCCAAGCAUCUAGGUCGGGUUCGAGUCCCGGUAGGUGCA